Molecule: ribosomal RNA, 1028 nt
Filed under: Umbelopsis nana
Lineage: Eukaryota; Fungi; Mucoromycota; Umbelopsidomycetes; Umbelopsidales; Umbelopsidaceae
Description: eukaryotic LSU rRNA
Rfam family: Eukaryotic large subunit ribosomal RNA
Source: RNAcentral
CAAAUUUUGAUCUGAAAUCAGGUAGGGCUACCCGCUGAACUUAAGCAUAUCAAUAAGCGGAGGAAAAGAAACUAACAAGGAUUCCCCUAGUAACGGCGAGUGAAGCGGGAAGAGCUCAAAUUUAAAAUCUGGUUUGCUUUGCAAAUCCGAGUUGUAGUCUGAAGAAACGUUUUCCAUGAAAGCUGAGGCACAAGUCCUUUGGAACAGGGCAUCAUAGAGGGUGAGAAUCCCGUCCAUGGUCUCAAGUCUUUCAUUUUGUGAUACGUUUUCUAAGAGUCAGGUUGUUUGGGAAUGCAGCCUAAAAUGGGUGGUAAAUUUCAUCUAAAGCUAAAUAUUGGCGAGAGACCGAUAGCGAACAAGUACCGUGAGGGAAAGAUGAAAAGAACUUUGAAAAGAGAGUUAAAAAGUACGUGAAAUUGUUGAAAGGGAACCGUUUGAAGCCAGUCUUGCUUGCUUGUGAUCAAUCUUUGCUUCGGCUUGGAUGCACUCUCAGGUUAUGCAGGUCAACGUCAGUUUGAGAGGUGGGAAAAAAGCUUGAGGAAUGUGGCCUUCGGGUGUUAUAGCCUCUUGCUAAAUACCAUCUUUUGGACUGAGGCUCGCAGCAAAAAUGUGGGCAGGUUUGCGUUUGAGGUGAUACAUUAUUAAGACAGCUUGCUGACUUAGUUUUGUCUAUCUUCACUGUAAGCUUCGCUUCUAAUUUGCUUAGGUCGUUGACAUAAUGGCUUUAAAUGACCCGUCUUGAAACACGGACCAAGGAGUCUAACAUAUAUGCGAGUAUUUGGGUGGCAAACCCACAUGCGCAAUGAAAGUGAAAUUAGGUGCCAAACUCUCACGAGUGGCAGCAUCGGCCGGCUCUGACGUUUCUAACUGACGAGUCUGAGCAGAAGCAUACAUGUUGGGACCCGAAAGAUGGUGAACUAUGCCUGAAUAGGGUGAAGCCAGAGGAAACUCUGGUGGAGGCUCGUAGCGAUUCUGACGUGCAAAUCGAUCGUCAAAUUUGGGUAUAGGGGCGAAAGACUAAUCGAACC